AAAAAGAUUGAUACCUGUUUUUUCUCCUUCAUUCUCAGAGAAGGGAACGGUGUUUGUCAUAAAUUGGCAAAGUUUGCCAUACCCAUUGCAGGUGAAAUUGAUUGGAGGGAUUCCUUCGCAGUUUGACUAACCAAUUUAGUCAAAGAAGAUGCUGGAGCAGUUGCCCCAGUUGAUUAAACCUUUGUAUGGUUGCUUUUUUAAUGAAAAUGCUGUUACCGGUUGAAAAAAAAGUUUGAAUAGGCCAUGAUCACCCUUAGAUGUACAAACUCAUUAUUGUUUUUGGGGGGUUUGGUAGCAGAAAGGGCACAAUAGUACUAAUAACCUACCAUCAUCUCAAUAAUUCAUCUCAUGUACUUCAUUGAUAUCUGUGCAUCACGCGGUAUUGUCAAUUGGUGCACGUAAAAAAUAUCAAAUAUUUUCAGGCUAAAAUCCUGCAUAUAUGGUGAAUUUUUCUCUCCCUUGGCUAUCACCUUUGUCAAGAAAAAUUCUUUGUCAGACAAUCAAAAUUGCGGUCUGUGGAGUGCCAGCAUCCAAGGCUAUCCAGGGCGAAAGAUACAUGAUCCCUGCUGAGAGUACAACUGUCCUGUAUCUAAGGGCAAUCUGCCAGUGAAUAUCCUUAUUUUGGGAGAUCAGGACUUCCUGCUACUGGAAUGGAAUGCUUAUCUGUAAUGCAUUUUUUAAUACUUUGUUAUUCCGUCAUGCUUCUCUCCCAACGAUUUGGACUUUGUGCAAUCGGAAGAUGGGCUCAGAUAAGGAAGUGAGAUAUGACAUCAACGUGGGCACAUAAUAGACUUUAUACCAAAUGUCAGGGACCUUUGCCCCUCCAUAUGGUCCAGUAAUUGCACUGUGAGCGUGUGUAAAUGCCUAAAAUGUUUAUUGUUAAGUCUGUGACAUUCCUGUUAGUAUGUUUAAUACUUGGAAUUACUGCAAUUUGUCACUUUGAAUUUCUGCUCGAACCAUUCUUGCUGCAUUUCCUUUCAGUAUCUUGUCUUGCUAUCUGGAUUCUAGAGGGUCUUGCCUCAGUCUUGAUGUUUCUUGAUUAUGCAGAGGAAGACUUUCAUUGAAAUCCUUAAUCAGUUGCAGUAAGAUGCAAAUGAGUAUGAUGUUAUAAUCUCGAGGACAUUUGAGCUACAAAGUGCAAACACUUUCACUGGUUGAAAUCCUUUUAUUUGGAGUGGCUAUCUUGGAUGUUCUCUUCACUGGUUAAGGGGGUCAUGGUUAUGUUUAUCAACAAAGUCAGUCAAAUAUACAGACAACUACCUUUAUACACCUAUAGAGAUGUUUGGACCGUUGAUUAAUAAUGUUAGCUAGGUAAUGCCAGUAUUAGGAAUAAAAGAAAAAACAAGAAAGAAAAUGAGUCCUGCAAAUUUGGCCCUUCCCAGCAAAGGGUGAACUUUCAUCGAGGCAUAAGAUCAGAAACCGUUGCCAUAUUAACUGAACAAAAUUCCUCAUCUGUUCUGAAAUUUGUCUCUACAUCUUUGUGUUCGUUGGUUGAAAAUGCAGGCAUCUUAGGAGUGGGCAGACUCUCAUUCUCAUUCUUCAGCAUAGAGGAGACCUCUAACAUGGAUGGCCUAUCUUCCCAAUUUUCUUGGACACAUAGCAGAGCUACUUGCAUACACCUUAGAAGUUUGCAUGGCGAUUGAUCAUCAUCAAGUGAUGGAUCCAGGAACUCCAAGGCACUGCCAUCUUUCCACAGUUGGUAUGCCUAAAAAUGUCAUUAUUGCAGAGACUCCUGAUGAAAGCACCAAUCACAAGGCAGUUGGUAGUUGGUUCCAAUAUAACAAUAGAUUAAAUUCUGGAAUACAAGCUGAAGAAGAAGAAAUCUAAAAAGGAGGACGUCUAAAGCAGGAAAUAUCAUGGGGGCCCUUUUGCGACUGGACUUGUUUGGUUGAAAUUUUUAUUCUUGCUUGAAGAGGACGUUUUCAAUGUUCAUAGGAGAGUUUUCACACAAGUCUUCGCCGUUUGAUUUGGCUAACAAGAAAUCCAAUACUCAGAUCAGACUCUGUGUUGAAGGUUGCCAAUAAAUUCUGCUGAAUCAGGUAAAAGUCUUACUCAUGAGGGCGAAUUCAUUAAACUCCGAAAAGCCAACUUAGGAUCAAAAUUUUAUGUUGAAUUGCUUUAUAGUAUAUCUUUAAUGAACUAUUCCAAGAGUCAGCGGUAUUUUUAUACCAGAAUAUUCGAUACCUCAUUGUUUUAAGAUGGUAAUGUAGUUUUUUUUUGGUGUGUUAUAC
This is a non-coding RNA of Coffea arabica (coffee), 2231 nucleotides long. The record is from RefSeq and is a predicted model, not a curated record. NCBI's taxonomy places the organism in Eukaryota, Viridiplantae, Streptophyta, Magnoliopsida, Gentianales, Rubiaceae.